GAUUAUAAAUAAAGGCAACAGUAGUAUACCGCUGUUCAAAAAUCAUAAAUCCAUGGACAAAAAACAAAAUCGGGGUAACAAACUAAAACCGAGGGAAACGCAUUAAAUAUAAGAGGAGAACAACGACAUAACACUAAAAUGUAACACACAUAGACAAAAUCCCACGAGAAUAACAAAUAUAACAUAUAUAUAUAUAUAACAUCAAAACCAAAUACAUGAAUUUGGGAUAGACAA
This 234-nucleotide long non-coding RNA is filed under the name Mytilus galloprovincialis (Mediterranean mussel). The record is from RNAcentral. Lineage: Eukaryota; Metazoa; Mollusca; Bivalvia; Mytilida; Mytilidae.